GAUGAACGCUGGCGGCGUGCCUAAUACAUGCAAGUCGAGCGAACAGACGAUGAGCUUGCUCCUCUGACGUUAGCGGCGGACGGGUGAGUAACACGUGGAUAACCUACCUAUAAGACUGGGAUAACUUCGGGAAACCGGAGCUAAUACCGGCUCAUAUAUUGAACCGCAUGGUUCAAUAGUGAAAGACGGUUUUGCUGUCACUUAUAGCUGGAUCCGCGCCGCAUUAGCUAGUUGGUAAGGUAACGGCUUACCAAGGCAACGAUGCGUAGCCGACCUGAGAGGGUGAUCGGCCACACUGGAACUGAGACACGGUCCAGACUCCUACGGGAGGCAGCAGUAGGGAAUCUUCCGCAAUGGGCGAAAGCCUGACGGAGCAACGCCGCGUGAGUGAUGAAGGUCUUCGGAUCGUAAAACUCUGUUAUUAGGGAAGAACAAAUGUGUAAGUAACUAUGCACGUCUUGACGGUGCCUAAUCAGAAAGCCACGGCUAACUACGUG
This 497-nucleotide ribosomal RNA is filed under the name uncultured bacterium. RNAcentral describes it as "partial 16S ribosomal RNA". It matches the Rfam family "Bacterial small subunit ribosomal RNA", at positions 28 to 507 of the family's 1533-position model. The record is from RNAcentral.